Molecule: RNA transcript, 1714 nt
Organism: Manduca sexta (tobacco hornworm)
Lineage: Eukaryota; Metazoa; Arthropoda; Insecta; Lepidoptera; Sphingidae
Exons: 13
Source: RefSeq, a predicted model, not a curated record
UGCUGUCAGUUUACAUUAAAAUAUCUGCAAUUCUUCCAAGAUUUCUAAACAUAUCUUUCAACUUAAAAUUGUUAUUUUGUUAAAUAUGUAGUUAUUAUUUAUUUUUAUAUAAUUUUACAAUUGUUGAUAUUGUAUUGAAAUUUUCUAAAUGCCACCAAAAAAUGUUGACGCACGCUCUGUACGCGUGGCUGGUCAUAUCGGCAGUCGCGGCGCCUGACGACUAUCAAUACUGCUCGGUGCGGUACCGACGCCUCUGCCUGGGCAAGGGGAGACAUGUCGCCUGCCAAUUCCCUGAACCCGGCCCCGGACUAUCGUGUGAAAACUAUACAGAGAUAGCAUUCACCGACGAACUAAAGAAUUUCGUGACACAUUACAUCAAUAGACGUCGUCAACGACUUGCGUCGGGGAAUGAAAGAGUUCGUGGCGGGAUACAUUUACCGAAACCACGAAUUAUGAUGUUAGUGGAAUGGGAUCGCGAACUGGCUUUCCUCGCGCAAAGACUUGCAGAUCAGUGCAGUUUUGUACACGACGACUGUAGGGCGACAGUCCGCUAUCCAUACGCAGGGCAGACAGUGGGGGAAGUAAGGUGGCGUAAGUCGAGCGACUCGGAUACACUGAGUGCACUGCGCGGGAUCCGUCGCGUGCUGGACGCGUGGUGGGGUGAGAGGAGGCGGGUCCAGCCGAGGCAGCUGACUUCACCGUUUAAGUUGACCUCUAGAGGAGCAGUGUGGGGCCAUUUCACCCAGCUCGCAGUAUGGAGGCUCCGCGCAGUGGGCUGCGGCGCUGUUCGCCAUAGUCUUCCCAAGCCUCGACUUCUUCUCGUCUGUGACUUCUCACAUACCAACAUGUUGGGUCAGAAGACCAUUUCACCGGGGCCUUUGGACCCCUGUCCUAUACACACUGAGAGGCGACCCAGGUCUCAGUACCCUUUGCUUUGCGGGCCGGUUCGCCGACCAUCAGAAAAGAAUGCAAGACAUUAUGACGACGAUGAUAAUGAAUCUGAAGAAGACGAGGUAUUGGAGACGAGGCUUCGGAUCGGCUCAGCACCACGAAAAAAAAUAUACACGACGAAAAUGCAACCCAGCAAAGACUAUAAAAUACAAGCCAAAAUGUUGGCUGUAACAAAAGCAGUAAUCAUAGACAAGAUUGAAAAGGAGUUAUCAAAGAAAAAAGGUGAACAUAAAACCCAUGAAAGCCACCUUCAAACUAUAGCUACCGUUGCACAUCCCGAGCGACCUACAAAAAGGCAUUACUUUGGAAAAUGGCGCGAGAGUCAAGAAGCUGCGGACCGUGCGAUAAUCGUGGAACAACCUAUAUCUUAUUCCGUAUUAGAUCAGCAAAGUCUCACAGUCACCAUGGACCCAGCAAGGCCCACUAUUACACGAGCAACACAAGCAAGGAUUAGAUGGAAGCAGACAAGAGAUCGACCUGUAAGGUAAAUGUUGAAUUAAUACGAUGUAUUAUGGAAAAUCAAUCAACAAGAAGCCAAGAACAACGAUGUUGCUAGUCGACACAUUUAUGCUGGCCAAUUGUCCAAAAUAUUGAACGGACCAAAUGUCGGCCGAGUCCAUUCUCCAAAAAUUGCGAAUGUGAGAUUUGAACCCAGCCAGGCGCAAACGCACUUCUGAAUGUACAAAGUCCAAAAGCAAUCUCGGCUGAGAGAAGACAGUCUGUGGCUUCCCUGGUGCUGGAUAAAGAUGACGUAGACCAGUUG